RNAcentral lists this ribosomal RNA (253 nucleotides) under uncultured bacterium. RNAcentral's name for it is "partial 16S ribosomal RNA". It matches the Rfam family "Bacterial small subunit ribosomal RNA", at positions 524 to 776 of the family's 1533-position model. The record is from RNAcentral.
UACGUAGGGUGCGAGCGUUGUCCGGAAUUAUUGGGCGUAAAGGGCUCGUAGGCGGUUUGUCGCGUCGGGAGUGAAAUCCACUGGCUUAACUGGUGGCUUGCUUUCGAUACGGGCAGACUGGAGGUAUGCAGGGGAGAACGGAAUUCCUGGUGUAGCGGUGAAAUGCGCAGAUAUCAGGAGGAACACCGAUGGCGAAGGCAGGUCUCUGGGCCGAUACUGACGCUGAGGAGCGAAAGCGUGGGGAGCGAACAGG